GCGUGAGAGCGUGGCCCGCCUCAUCGGGACUGAGACACUGCCCGGACACCUACGGGUGGCUGCAGUAACGAAUAUUGGGCAAUGGGCGAAAGCCUGACCCAGCAAUGCCGCGUGCAGGAGGAAGCCCCUCGGGGUGUAAACUGCUGUCAGGGUUUAGCAAGCAAACCGGGUUAACAGCCCGGCGCGUUGAGCAGACCCAAAGGAAGCCUCGGCUAACUCUGUGCCAGCAGCCGCGGUAAGACAGAGGAGGCAAGCGUUGUUCGGAAUCACUGGGCUUAAAGAGGGUGUAGGCGGCUUGGUAAGUGUCGUGUGAAAGCCCCCGGCUCAACCGGGGAAUGGCAUGGCAAACUGCCUGGCUUGAGGUUGGUAGAGGUACCUGGAACUCUAGGUUGAGCGGUGAAAUGCGUAGAUAUCUAGAGGAACGCCGGUGGCGAAAGCGGGGUACUGGGCCAAUUCUGACGCUGAGACCCGAAAGCGUGGGGAGCAAACAGGAUUAGAUACCCUGGUAGUCCACGCCGUAAACGAUGCACACUAGGCGCCGGAGCCUCUGACGGUCCCGACGCCGAAGCAAAAGUGAUAAGUGUGCCGCCUGGGGAGUACGGCCGCAAGGCUAAAACUCAAAGGAAUUGACGGGGGCUCACACAAGCGGUGGAGCAUGUGGCUUAAUUCGAACCAACGCGAAGAACCUUACCCAGGUUUGACAUUCAUGGAUGCAAUUCGGGGAUAACUCGGAACGCUGCCCUUCGGGGUGAAACAUGGACAGGUGUUGCACGGCUGUCGUCAGCUCGUGCUGUGAAGUGUCGGGUUAAGUCCCUUAACGAGCGAAACCCCUGUCGUUAGUUGCUAGCAGGUAAUGCUGAGGACUCUAGCGAGACUGCCGGCGUUAAGCCGGAGGAAGGUGGGGACGACGUCAAGUCAUCGUGGCCCUUAUGCCUGGGGAUGCACACGUGCUACAAUGGCGCGUACAGCGGGAUGCAAGACCGCGAGGUGGAGCAAAUCCCUCAAAACGCGCCCCAGUUCGGAUUGUAGGCUGAAAUUCGCCUGCAUGAAGUUGGAAUCGCUAGUAAUCGCGUAUCAGCUACGACGCGGUGAAUGUGUUCCUGAGCCUUGUACACACCGCCCGUCAAGUCAUGGAAGCUGGUAGUACCCGAAGUCCGCUUAGCUAACCGGCAACGGAAGCGGCGGCCGACGGUAAGACUGGUGACUGGGACUAAGUCGGAACAAGGUA
Molecule: ribosomal RNA, 1228 nt
Filed under: metagenome
Description: bacterial SSU rRNA
Rfam family: Bacterial small subunit ribosomal RNA
Source: RNAcentral